RNAcentral lists this long non-coding RNA (776 nucleotides) under Salmo salar (Atlantic salmon). RNAcentral's name for it is "lncRNA (ENSSSAG00000117401.1)". Lineage: Eukaryota; Metazoa; Chordata; Actinopteri; Salmoniformes; Salmonidae. The record is from RNAcentral.
UAUCUCUGUGUGUGUGUGCGCAUGCAUAUCUCCAUUUGUGUGUGUGCAUGCAUGCAUAUCUGUGUGUGUGUAUGUGUGUGUUCGCGCAUGCAUAUCUCUGUGUGUGCGUGCAUGUAUAUCUCUGUGUGUAUGCGCGCAUGCAUAUCUCUGUGUGCGCGCACAUGCAUAUCUCUGUGUGUGUGUGUGUGUACACACAUUCGUAUCUCUGUGUGUGUGUGUGUGUGUGUGUUCGCGCGUUCGUGUGUGUGUGUGUGCGCACAUACAUAUCUCUGUGUGUGUGUGUGCGCGCGUUUGUGCAUGUGUGCUGGGAUGUAACAAUAUGCUCUCUAUACUCAGAGAAGUUGGGAUAGAUAUGGAAAUCAAUAGAGCAAGGCCAAGGUCCUGACCCUCUCCACCGCAGUAUCCUGGGCUUUCUAAGGUGAUGGUCUCAAGGUCCUGACCCUCUCCACUGCAGUAUCCAGGGCUUUCUAAGGUGAUGGUCUCAAGGUCCUGACCCUCUCCACCGCAGUAUCCUGGGCUUUCUAAGGUGAUGGUCUCAAGGUCCUGACCCUCUCCACCGCAGUAUCCUGGGCUUUCUAAGGUGAUGGUCUCAAGGUCCUGACCCUCUCCACCGCAGUAUCCUGGGCUUUCUAAGGUGAUGGUCUCAAGAGCCAGUUGAGAAAAGUACUGUAACACGGCCUCGGUCAGUAAGAGCUUCAUUUCUUUGGCCAGAACUCAUUUGAAAAAGAUGUAAGGGAAAAGGAAAUAGAAUUUCCUGAGUACACACCAGACCUUUC